AAAAAAAACAAAACUAAGGACGCAUGUCCGGGUACUGAUGCUGCCCAGCAAUGGGAUGUGCUCGUCUGGAUGUGUGUCCCUUCUCUAUUCCACCCCACUGUGAACCAAGCGUUGUGAGCCGAAGAGAGAUCGGAGGCUUGCGCGCAACACUUAUCAUACCCCAUACGAAGUAACAGAAUGUACCAUGCGUUAACUCGCACAAAUAUAACUUUCAACAACGGAUCUCUUGGCUCUCGCAUCGAUGAAGAACGCAGCGAAAUGCGAUAAGUAAUGUGAAUUGCAGAAUUCAGUGAAUCAUCGAAUCUUUGAACGCACCUUGCGCCCCUUGGCAUUCCGAGGGGCACGCCUGUUUGAGUGUCGUGAACUCCUCCACCCUCUACCUUUUCCGAAGGGCAUUGGGCUGGGAUUUGGGAGCUUGCGGGUCCCUGGCUGAUCCGCUCUCCUUGAAUGUAUUAGCGAAGCCCUCGCGGCCUUGGUGUGAUAGUCAUCUACGCCUCAGCUUAGCGAACAUGUGGGAGUCGCUUCUAACCGUCUCGCAAGGGACAACACAUACCAACUUGACCUCAAAUCAGGCGGGACUACCCGCUGAACUUAAGCAUAUCAAUAAGCGGAGGAAA
Molecule: ribosomal RNA, 617 nt
Filed under: Basidiomycota sp. EN1
Lineage: Eukaryota; Fungi; Basidiomycota
Description: eukaryotic LSU rRNA
Rfam family: 5.8S ribosomal RNA (bases 207-360)
Source: RNAcentral